This 119-nucleotide ribosomal RNA is filed under the name Pteropus alecto (black flying fox). The record is from RNAcentral. Lineage: Eukaryota; Metazoa; Chordata; Mammalia; Chiroptera; Pteropodidae.
AUCUACCAUCAUGCCACCCUAAACAAGCCCAAUUCUGUCUGAUCUCGGAAGCUAACCAGGGUCGGGCCUGGUUAGUACUUGGAUGGGAGACCACCUAGGAAGACCAGGUACUGUAUGCG